UUAGACAGGAGUGUCUGCCUGGCUGAAGUUGAGGUCGCGUAUCUAAUCUGGACGAGAGGAGAGCGGGCAAUCAACUGGCCUUUGUGGGGCGCGUGUGACGACACAAGGGGCCUUUCUCAGAGUUACAGAAGACAGACAUUCAUGAGCUACAUGAAGGAGAGCAUAUCUGGCGUGCUGUGCCUUUCAGAUAUAGUACCAGGAAACACAGAUGGUCCCGAGACUGCUUGUGUGCCAAAUCGUGUGUUCAGGUGGCUUGACUGCUCUACUGCUAGAGACCAAGGGAGGACCGAAGAAAGGAUGCGUGGAUGUGUCCAGCCCAUCUCUGGCAGAGCCAAUGAGACAACGUUCUCCUUCAGUCAGGGUUUCUGUCUGUUCUGCUGCUUAUAAAUGGAGUCUCUUGGCUUGUCGGUGUGGAGCCUGACAGCUAUUGUCCCCAGAUAGUGGCCUGGUAACAAGAUGCCUAAUGUGAACUUUUGCAUAUAGGGACACCUGAAGGCAAGACCGUAAGAAGACAAAAUAAGGGGCUAGAGAGAUGGUUCAGUGGUGAAGAUCACUGGCUACUCUCCCAGAGGUCCUAAGUUCAAUUCCCAGGAACCACAUGUUGGCUCACAAGCAUCUGUAAUGGGAUCUGAUGUCCUCUUCUGUUGUGUAGACAUAUGUGUAAAUAGGGCACUCGUAUACAUAAAUAAAUACAUCUUUACAAAGAAGUCAAAAUAUGCAAGGACCCAUUGCUGUCUUAUCUAAAUUGCUUUAUUGUUCCUAGAAAGCAGUUACAAGUGCUUGAACAGAGACUACUUGUUUUUAGGUUAAUCUCAGAGUGAGUGUCCUGGCUGCCAGUCGCCAAAGCCCCACCCCUGCUACAUCUCUCCUGAUUUGCAUGGCCAGUCCAGAUAGAUGGAAAUGAAGGCAGGGCUUUCAUUUCUCCAGUUGCCAACAGCUUCGUGAAGGACAUUCUAAAGUGCUAGUGCUGUGUCUUUUCAAAAUUAGACCCGAAACACAAGGAUGUUCUUAGAAAACAGCUCAAUUUAGAAAGCCAUAAGAAAUGGCUGUUGGAAUAUUGCCUUUGGCUGGUCAUUUUUCAAAGAUUUCAAAGUCAUUCAUCAUAAGGCAGAUAUGAUAGCUCAUACCUGUAAUCUUGGCACUUGGAAGAUUGAGGCAAGAGGAUAGCCAGGAGUUCAAGGUCAGAUAGGUCUAAUAAUUUGGGGUCAACCUGGGCUAUAAAGUAAGCCACUGCCUCCAAACAAAACCAACAAACCAAGCUAAACACACACACACACAUACACACACACACACACACUCACACACACACACACACACACACUCGGAGAGAGACAGAGAUACAGAGAUACAGAGACUCACAAGUUUUUAUCAUGAUUAAGUAAUGGUGAUUUGUUUUGUGCGGUUUUUUUUUUAAGAUUUAUUUAUUUAUUACAUAUAACUACACUGUCACUGUCUUCAGACACACCAGAAGAGGGCAUCGGAUCCCAUUAGAUGAUUGUAAGCCACCAUGUGGUUGCUGGGAUUUGAACUCAGGACCUCUGGAAAAGCAGUCAGUGCUCUUAACCACUGAGCCACCUCUCCAGCCCUGUUUUGUGCGUUCUUUUGCAGAGUUUUUAGAGCUACCCAGGGUACACAUCCCAUGCAAAUCAGACAAUCUACCAUAGGCUAUACUCCCCUCCCAUAAUGCUUUUGCUUUAAUCUGUGGGGUAAUUUGGGAUGAAUCGUUACUAAGACAUAGUUAAAGAGAACCUAUUAUACCAAUAUUUUUAAGUCAGAGGACACAAGACGGUUGCAAAGGACCAUUUUUGCCUCUUCCACGAACUCCUACAGACGUUUCAGUGUCCUAAAAUUGUCUCAUUUAUGAUCUAGGAUGUCCCAUGGGAUAACCAUGGGUAGGAUUUCUGCUUGGAAGCUUCCCCAUUCUGGACACCUACCCCUGUCCCUAGUGUCAGUCUGUAUGACCAGACUUUUAUCUAAAGCUACUUCCUUCCUUGGCUCCUCCCCCGUCUCCUUGACUCCUCCCCCAUCUCCUUGACUCCUCCCCCAUCUCAUCCUUUCUCUCUCAUUACCAUGCAAGUUUUUCUUGAGUAACGGACAAACCUCUAUCUCAUACCUCUCUCUCUCUCUCUCUCUCUCUCUCUCUCUCUCUCUCUCUCUCUCUCUCUCCCCUCUCUCUGUGUUAAUAGCUACUUCGGGUGUUGUUUUGUUUUGUUGUGCCUUCCAGGUAAGCUCUGGGGAUCCAUUUGUCUUUAUUUCCCUAGCACUUACAUCACAGGUCCUUGCCACCACACUUGGUGUGUGGUCUUGAACUCAGGUCAAAAUGUUUCUAAGGCAAACACUAUCUCUCCAGGUGUCUCCCAGGUCCCCGAGGCUCAACAUCUUGAAUAACGUGUCCAAAGUCAGAUAAACAGUUCAUGACUAUUCUUGCAGUUCUCGAAAGGUAUUCCAGGUUAACUGUAUACGUCCUAAAAUACUACAGGGGAAAUGCCAAUGCCUUUCUCACUUCCUGUCCUUCAAUACUUGUGGGAUAAAACAGAAGUGCUCACUUUAGACAUGAUUGAUGGGUUUUGAAAGCUGAUUUCUAAAAAAGAAGGAAAAAAAACAAACCUAAUCUGAGCCACGUGACCUACCUUGUUCAUUUACAAAAACCAUCCACUCAGCCUCCCUGUAGCCAAACUGAGGGAGCCAGAUUUUUAAAACAGCAUUUUAGCUUUAGGAAACUUUGAGAAUUAGGGCAGGCAAACUGCAAGCAGCUGACUCUCAAAUAGAAGCCCCAGGAGGAUGUGGGGGAGCUGGUGGGCGGAGCAUGCGCGGCUUCAAAGGGCCAGGUCUGAAAAGUAACUUCUCCCUGGGAGCCCUGAACUCUGCUGCUAGCUUCAACCUCACCUCAGCCUGUUCUUGGCUAUUUUAUUUCAUUUUAUUUUACUUUACUUUUUUAUUUUAUUUUUAUGUUGACAUUGACCUAGCUCUUAGGGGAACCAUGUCCUAAGUUCAUUUCCCAACAAGAAAAAGUUGUACUCCACUAUGGCAACUAAUAAAGGCAUGGCCCUGUAACGAGAUAAGACUAUAUUUUUAAAGGGCCAGCUGUUAAAGGGGUGCGGGGGUGUCAUUUUAUUAGAAAUGCAUGAGCUAAGAGAGCUAAGCCAGGUACAAAAGGACAAAUCCUGGCCUUACUCAAGUGAAAAAUUUAAAUAAUCAAAGUCCUAGAAACAGAAUAUUGAUUGCCAAGGAGAGUAGCAGAGUGUUGCAUAAUACCAUACCCCACAGAAUUCUGUUUGGAGUGGAGACCAAGUUCUGGGAAUGGAUAAAGGUGGUGUUAGCACUGAAUGGCACUGGAGGGAACUUUUUUGUUGUUUUUAAGUUUGAAACUGGGCUGGAGAGAUGGCUCUGAAAUUAAAGAGUACCUGCUGUCCUUGGGGAACUUGAGUUUGAUUCCCUGCACCCACAAGGGAGAGCUUUCAGCCAGUAACUCCCUGGACAUCCAUACUUACAUACCCACACACAGAUACACACAUGCACACAUAUUUCACGGUAAAAAGAAAUCUUUUUAAAAGGUAAACAUAAAUAAACAAACGACUUCUUCAGUUUGGACCUUUGUUCUUUCCUUUGUCUAUUUGAGAAUCCCAAACCUGUCAGCCUGGCCAACGAGGUGACACUUUGUAUCGGAGCUUGGCUGCGUCUGUGUGCCUUGUAACGCAGACUGAGGUUUGCUGGGGCUCUAUAAUCACUGGUGGUGAAAUCAGGAAGAUGCGAAGUGGGCGUGUAUUGAAGUGCAGCUCAGUCAACCUUCUAGACCUUAAAUUAGAGUGAGGAGCAUAAACACGGCAGAGAGGGUUUUUUUCCCCCCUCAACUAAAUUGCAAUUAUAUUUUAAAUUACCUACAAUUACCAGAAACCAUCUCAAAGCUAGAAAUUAACUUCUUGUCCCAGCAGAUCAGCUGUUAAAUGGAGCACCUUGUGCCCUAAAACCUCCUGCUUCGGCUGCACCCGGGAGAGCAGAGGGGAGGCGGAGCCUGAGGUUGGCUGUCACGUGAAGGAACAGCUGCCUUCGGAGGGGCGGGGCCGUAUUUUUACAGCUUCCCAAAUUAACAAUUUCGUUCCAUUCAUUCAGUGCCAUUUUCCUGAAAUACAGUGCGUGUUUUCUUUUGGAGAACAAGUGAGUGUUUUCUUUCAGACGUCAGUGGAACAAUGUCUAUGUAACCAUUUUAGACAUCUAGUACUUAGGGCAUGGAGUUGGGACCAGGAGCCACUGAGACUAUCCCGGACUGGUGACCACUGGUGACCAUGAUCUUGAUAAAUGUUCUUAUCUUCCAAGCUUCGCGGUGAUUGUCAGACAUAACUGUUGAAACGUUGGGGUGGAGUUCUCUCUCAGCUUUAGACACCGGGCUGGUUUCUGCCAUUUUUGUCCAAGCUGCCAUGUAUUCUCUGAUUCUGUGAGGAGAUGCAGUGUUCUGGGUCAGCCUCUCCUACGCCGCCUGGACUUGAAGGCAACACCACAGAGCACAUUGCAAUGUUAACAUGUAUGCUUAAUACUUUGGGGAAAGGAUUGACUACUUGUAAACAUCGUGGCCUGCUGAUUCUCUGAAAACUCGUGCUAAGUCUUUUUUCCUUAAAUCCAUUUCUCUGGUCUGGAACCUACCUUUUGAAUGGCCUCUGAAAGGUUUUCUUUUCUUUUUUUUUGAAAAUAAACGGUCAUGAUAGUUUCCCUACAAUUCCUUAUCAUCUCGGCAUUGCCAACA
Molecule: non-coding RNA, 4738 nt
Organism: Rattus norvegicus (Norway rat)
Lineage: Eukaryota; Metazoa; Chordata; Mammalia; Rodentia; Muridae
Source: RefSeq, a predicted model, not a curated record